Molecule: ribosomal RNA, 253 nt
Filed under: uncultured bacterium
Lineage: Bacteria
Description: partial 16S ribosomal RNA
Rfam family: Bacterial small subunit ribosomal RNA
Source: RNAcentral
UACGAAGGGGGCUAGCGUUGUUCGGAAUUACUGGGCGUAAAGGGCGCGUAGGCGGCCUUCUAAGUCGGACGUGAAAUCCCUCGGCUUAACCGAGGAACUGCGUCCGAUACUGAAAGGCUUGAAUCCGGGAGAGGGAUGUGGAAUUCCAGGUGUAGCGGUGAAAUGCGUAGAUAUCUGGAGGAACACCGGUGGCGAAGGCGGUCUGCUGGGCAGUUUCUGACACUGAGGCGCGACAGCGUGGGGAGCAAACAGG